This is a long non-coding RNA of Parus major (Great Tit), 614 nucleotides long. The record is from Ensembl. Lineage: Eukaryota; Metazoa; Chordata; Aves; Passeriformes; Paridae.
UAUAAUCCUAUGGGUUUGGGGGUGCUGCCUCCAACAGGAACAGGCUGUUUGUUCCCUGUCACACACCUGUAACUCCUGCUCUCCCCAGGAAGCCCGAGACACUCCCAUAUUUGCAGCCGCUGUUCCCCAGCAGGGAGCCACAGUACAGCCAAAGGGGGCUGGCGGUCCAUGGCAGUGUCCCCCGUGUGCCUCAGAGAUAUGAGGACCAUCAGAACACACUGCCACCCAUUCAGGAUUCUCUCCAGAGCACAGAAUUUCUGCAGGGACACAGGACCCUCCCCCAAAAGCCCAGAGUGACCCGCGUGCUGGGCAGUUGUGGACACACCUGGAGGAGCCGUAAUGAGCAGAUUCCUGUGGUGACCAGGACACCGCAUGAGCCAGGCCCUGCUGCCUCACGGGGUCACCGGCCAGGCACGAUCCCCAAACACGUCUCCAGGGCACCAGGGCUCCUCCAGCACCCUGAGACUUGGACAGCCCUCAAGUAGCUGGACAGGACUGGGAACCCGGUGAUGCACCAGGAACGUCUCCUCAGCCGAGAGGAAAGUCUGACAAUAGCUGUCAGAGAAAUAACUUUUUAGUUGUAUCACAUUAAUAAAUAAACUUUCAAAAAUACA